GCUUUAUUUGCCUGAGGGGACACAGGGAACCAUUUAGGAGAGUGAGGCAAUUAAGCAAUUAUAUAACAUUUUGAAAACAUUCAAUACUUCCCACCAUUUGAUUUGUACUUCUGGAGAACUGCUUUUCUCAUACUAGCUGGUUAGAAUAGUAAAAAUCCUCACACCCUCCCCUCCCAUCUGUCAUUUUUUUUGGUCAUGAAAUUAUACCUCAUUUUACAAAAUGCAUUUUUCUGAGAAACUAAUGCUUACAUUGAAUUUUGCAAGUUUAAUAAUUAAGGAUUGGAAUGUUUUAUUUAAAAUAAUUAAGAUUAUUUUUUAAAAGUAUCACGUGUGAAAGUAAUUAUCACCCCCAAAUUGUAUUUUGCAAAUUGUGCCUAUUUUAUCACUACUAUACAUUUAGGACGAAAAGAAAAAAAGUUGGGGGUGGAUAAUCUAUCAUAAUACAAAAAGAAAAACUCUUGAGUCAGUGUUACUUUUCAUUGGGGAAAAGGCAGGUGGGAAAAAUAGAUAAAUACAAGUUAGAGUUAAUCCUAAAAUCUCAUUACAGCUUAAAAUAUCAAUCUCUAGAAAUACAAAACAUUUGCCAAAAUAAUUGUUAAUAUGUGCAACACUACCCAAAUUAAAAAAUGCAAUUCUCCCUUCUGCUAGUCCUCCUUCUGUACCAAUAUAAUUAGCAAUAAAAUUGAAGGCAACAAAAAUAAGAAAAGACAUAAUGAUCCUGGAAAAUCUACAAAAUGGAUUAUCAUUUUCUAACAAUUGUUAAUACACUGUGUUUUUUAUGUGGUGGUGUGAUAACAUUUUUUUCUUGCUUUCUUGUAAGUUAGGUACUGUGCUAUAUUUAUCUUUGACAGGGCACCUAGCAUCUGAUAGAAAUUCUAAACAGCAAAUGGUAGUAUGAUAUUUUUAUUAUCUAUGCCUCUUAAAACUCUGGCCAAUAGCAAGUAACACCAUUUCCACCUCCCAGAGGAGAAAGAUAAACACAAAAGGAGCUUAAGUGGAUAAAUCACAUAGCAUGGACACAGAAUCUUUUCUAAAUAAAUAACCUAUUAAAAUAGAAGUUGGCAGUCUUAUAAAAAGAAAAUAAAAGUUCUGAUGAGGAAACCUGGGUUGUUUCUCAGCUCUAACUACAAAAAUAAACAUCCUUGAGAAAUUGCUGAACCUCCUUGUUCUUGCUUAAUGUAAAAUGAGAGGGCAAGAUUAAAUGAUCUCAAAGCUCCCUUUCAGUUCAGGGACUGUGAAAUAAUAUGGUAAAUAGGCUUACUUAGGACCUUCUCGGGCACUAGCACUUUAAGAGUUUUACGUGGAUUGUAUAAUCAUCAAAAUAAUCCUGCAUAAUAGACACCAUUGUUAGUUGCAUUUUAUGAAGAAAGUGAGGCUUAACCAUUGAAGUAUUUUACACAAUGUCAUGUGUUUAGGGAGCAGCCAAGGUGAAGUUUUCAACCAGGCCGACCAACUUCAGAGUCCACUGGCUUCAAAACAGUGCUUUACAUCCUCCUUCCAACAUUAUUCACAAGCCGAUCAAGACUGAGAGAGUCACAAGUGUGUGAAACCUGUAUUCUUUCUGACUUCAUUUUCCCUGGUCGAAAUUUUUGUAGAAUAGACAAAUCAAGAAUGAUGACUUCUUAAGAUGCAGUAUUCAAGUUCAGAAAUCUAUACUCAGAUGACCUUAUGUAGGUCAUCUGCUUCUGAGGUUUAUCUCACCAGUGGCAUCCUGACUCAAGCUGUAUACAUUUGCAAUAUCUGAUUUUUAACCACACACUCUUCAUCCUAUUGACCCAGAGUGAAAAUUGAUACUCUUAGCUGAAGGACUGUUCCCUUGAGUAUAUUUAAACCAGACCAAUCUCUGUGUUUAAUCUGGGUUCAUCAGGAACCAUUAGCCUUGAUUGGUUUGUUUUUCUCCCCCUCCAUCUCAGGACUUGAUUCUAUUGAGUUAACAACUAUUCUCCCCAGAGAACAGCUACCGCAAGCCUGUUUCAAGUAAUUCCAAUAUCUGGCUCUUAGAAAUUGAACUGAUCUUUUUUUUCUUUAGUUUUAUGUGAAGAACUGCAGUAAUGAAUUCUGAAUUUGUUCAAAUCAUUGAAGAUGUGUGAAGACAAAACAUUCACUCAAAUCUCUAUCAUGUUAGCAUGUUAUUUAUCAUUGCUCUGUUCUUCAUUGUUGAAUAAUGCAAUUGAGUUAAAAAGAAUAAACAUUAUUUACCGAAGACUCAUAUGUUGAUAUCCAGUAAAUCCUCAUUAAUCACAAUUUGACAAGCUUGCAAUUUCUGGUAUUUCAGGAAGGAACUAGGUAUAUGUUUAUCUGUGCAAAAUAUCAAAAAAUGCAUUAGUAAGCCUUUUAGUAAUGUAAAUAAGACUGCGGAAGAAUUAUUAGAGCAAACUAUAUUUUGUUUAAACUAUUCCGGCAUAACACAUAACUCAGAAAAUAAGACAAUCUAUCGAAGCCUUACAAAUUACAAUCUGUGAGGCCUGUCAUAACUUUCAUAAGAAUGCUUAAUUACAUUGUGCUGCUGAUAUAAAGAACCCAUCUCUAAAUACAGUUAAAACAUUAUCCAGAUUUUCAAACAUAAUUUCAAGGGGGAUAAUAAGUAGAAAAACUACGGGGUUAUUUUUCAGAUCAUAUAUUUCUAGCUCUACUUUUGAAUAUCUG
This 2646-nucleotide long non-coding RNA is filed under the name Homo sapiens (human). RNAcentral's name for it is "HSALNT0208738". The record is from RNAcentral. Lineage: Eukaryota; Metazoa; Chordata; Mammalia; Primates; Hominidae.